UAGCCCCGCCCUCCUGAGGGCGAGGGCGGAAGAGCUGGCCUUGUGCGUGCCCGCGAGGCGAGCCGCCUUCUUGACGUCCGCUCCGAACUUCGAAGGGGCGAUGGCGGCUGCGGAGGACUCCGAGCUGCGAGAGCGCGCAGCAGUGGAGCGGGACGCGGCUGCGGCGACAACGACUACGGCGAUGGGCGUCGGAGGCCCCGGGCCGGCUCUCAGCGGGCAGUCGUACUGGCUGGACGUGUGGCUCAUGCUCCUCAUCGACUUGGUGCUCUUCGUCUUCGUCUAUCUCUUGCCCUGACGGACAAAUGGGUUACUACCAUCAGCGGCACUUUGAUCCAGAACAGAACUGACCAGCACUGGAACUUUUAUGUACAGACCAAGGGGUGAUGCCUUCCACUAUAUCUGAAGUGUUGGUGCCUGGGUUCUACUCCUUGGAUGUAAUUUCCUGAAGAGAGUUGGAGAGAUGGGAUUUCAUCUUUGGUUUUCAAACUAAAAGAAUGGAAGAUAUGCCUUAUUUUGAAUGUUACGCUUAUUAUAAAGAUAAUUGAAAGUUUUAA
Eublepharis macularius is the source of this 554-nucleotide long non-coding RNA. RefSeq lists it as uncharacterized. NCBI's taxonomy places the organism in Eukaryota, Metazoa, Chordata, Lepidosauria, Squamata, Eublepharidae. The record is from RefSeq and is a predicted model, not a curated record. The transcript is spliced from 2 exons.